RNAcentral lists this ribosomal RNA (498 nucleotides) under uncultured bacterium. RNAcentral describes it as "partial 16S ribosomal RNA". It matches the Rfam family "Bacterial small subunit ribosomal RNA", at positions 28 to 507 of the family's 1533-position model. The record is from RNAcentral.
GACGAACGCUGGCCGCGUGCCUAAUACAUGCAAGUCGAGCGGACGAAUCGAAAGCUUGCUUUUGAUUCGUUAGCGGCGGACGGGUGAGUAACACGUGGGCAACCUGCCCUGUAGACGGGGAUAACACCGAGAAAUCGGUGCUAAUACCGGAUAACACGAAAUGUCGCAUGACGUUUCGUUGAAAGACGGCGCAAGCUGUCGCUACAGGAUGGGCCCGCGGCGCAUUAGCUAGUUGGUGAGGUAACGGCUCACCAAGGCGACGAUGCGUAGCCGACCUGAGAGGGUGAUCGGCCACACUGGGACUGAGACACGGCCCAGACUCCUACGGGAGGCAGCAGUAAGGAAUCUUCCGCAAUGGACGAAAGUCUGACGGAGCAACGCCGCGUGAGCGAAGAAGGCCUUCGGGUCGUAAAGCUCUGUUGUUAGGGAAGAACAAGUAACGCAGUAACUGGCGUUACCGUGACGGUACCUAACGAGAAAGCCACGGCUAACUACGUG